Molecule: unclassified non-coding RNA, 240 nt
Filed under: soil metagenome
Description: partial contains 5.8S ribosomal RNA, internal transcribed spacer 2, and large subunit ribosomal RNA
Source: RNAcentral
AACCAUAGAAACCUGCGGAGUACCUGCGGAGGGAUCAUUAACGAGUUAGGGUCGUUCUGGCCCGAACUUCCAACCCCUUGUUUAUCACACCAUGUUGCUUUGGUAGGCCCGCUCUCUUAGGGGGGCCGCCGGAGGUUAUCCUACCUCUACCCCGUGCCUGCCAGUAGCCUUAUUAAAUUCUUUUUAACUGUGUCGUCUGAGUGGUAUUUUCAAAUCAUUUAAAACUUUCAACAAUGGAUC